AUGGUCCUGAUACAGAAAAUUAGUCAAAGAACGAGUAAAGCUAUCUAUCCAGUAUCCACUCGCUCGUGCUCGCGCACGCAGCACGCUACAGCGCUGCGGCUAGCAGCUGCGGCUGUGGAUUACGCAUCCCGGUCAAAAAUGGCCACUCCCUCCGCGCCACGUCUCCUCCCCUGCCCCGCCAUGCUCCACUCCCCCAUGCCUAUCGUCUUCCUCGCCGCCGGUCCGCUCGCCGCCGUCCACUUCUCUGCCCGCUGCCGCCUCCGCCUCCGCCUCCGUAUCCCCCACGUCGCUACCGCCGCCGGCGCUGCCACCGCUCCGGGAAACAGCUUCGCCGUCGAGGACUACCUCGUCGCCAACUGCCACCUCACCCAGCCGCAGGCCGUCAAGGCCUCCAAGAACCUCGCCCACCUCAAGUCCGCCUCCAACCCCGACGCCGUCCUCGCAUUCCUCGACGGCCUCGGCUUCUCCCCCAAGGAGGUCGCCGCCGCCGUCGCCUCCAACCCGCGCAUCCUCUGCGCCCGCAUCGAGCGCUCCCUCGCGCCCAUCUCCGCGGAGCUCCGCGCCCUCGGCCUCUCCACCUCCCAGGUCGCCCGGCUCGCCAAGAUCGCCGGCCGCUACUUCCUCUGCCGCAGCUUCGUCUCCAAGGUGCAGUUCUGGCUCCCCCUGUUCGGCUCCCCGGAGAGGCUGCUCCAGGCCAGCGACUGGAACUACUGGCUCCUCACCUCCGACCUCGAGAAGGUGGUCGAGCCCAACGUCUCCUUCCUCAGGCAAUGCGGGCUAAGUGCUUGUGAUAUUUCCAAGCUGCUCGUGGCCGCGCCGCGCCUGGUCACCAUGCACCCCGAGUACGUCCAGGACUCCGUGCGGCGGGCCAUUGAGCUCGGCGUGCCACCGGGCUCCCAGAUGUUCCGGCACGCGAUCUCCACCGCCGGGUGCAUCGGCCAGGAGAAGGUGGACGCCAAGAUCGCCGUCCUCAGGGAGACUCUCGGGUGGUCCAAGGAGGAGGUGAGCCUGGCCAUCAGCAAGGCGCCGCGGAUCCUGGUCGCCUCCGAGGAGAGGCUGCGCCGCAACGCCGAGUUCCUGGUCAAGGAGGUCGGGCUGGAGCCGCAGUACAUCGCGCGCCGGUCGGUGCUGCUCAUGUACAGCCUCGAGAGGAGGCUCAUGCCCCGGCAUCUCGUAGUGAAGCUCCUCAAGCAGAGGCGGCUGAUCGAGGAAGACCGGUGCUUCUUCAACGUGGUGGCGCCGACGGAAGAGAAGUUCUUGGAGAAGUUCGUUGCCCCCUUCGAGGAGUGUAUCCCCGGCCUCGGCGAUGCUUACGACGCUGCCUGUACCGGGAAGGCGCCGGUGAAAGCUCAGUGA
This 1356-nucleotide ribosomal RNA is filed under the name Triticum aestivum (bread wheat). RNAcentral describes it as "partial small subunit ribosomal RNA". The record is from RNAcentral. Lineage: Eukaryota; Viridiplantae; Streptophyta; Magnoliopsida; Poales; Poaceae.